GGGGGCGAAACGGCUUCGACGGAGAUGAAGAAGCUCAGAUCGCGUGUCGUGGCGCCCAUGGCCACGUAAAAAUGGGCAAUAACGCAACUGCAAAUGACAAUAGUCAGAGCGUUGCUCUAGCAGCCUAAUUAGGUCUGCUCGGCACUCUUAGGCUUCCGCCUGUAGCUUGAGAAACGCCGUCAAUAACCAGGCUAGCCAACACACAGAGUUCAUCGGUGUCAUGGUGAAAUUCAGGAUGAGCUAAGUCAGUAAAUAGGUUGCCGACCAUCGGUUUACUGAUCGAAAAUUAAACUAUCGGACACACACGUAGACGUCUGCUGUAGGCACAUUUUCGGACGCGGGUUCGACUCCCGCCGCCUCCACUA
Molecule: transfer-messenger RNA, 365 nt
Filed under: Kofleriaceae
Lineage: Bacteria; Pseudomonadati; Myxococcota; Haliangiales
Also listed under: 1 other name
Description: NORP324 sp016763395 Standard tmRNA
Rfam family: transfer-messenger RNA
About the family: Bacterial tmRNA, also known as 10Sa RNA or SsrA, is named for its dual tRNA and mRNA-like properties.
Source: RNAcentral